ACCCGCCUUCAGGGUGACGGGUCAGGUUAUGAAACGGCAGGGGACAGGACUUCCGAUAGUACCAUGAGAUCUUUAUUGAUCACAAAAGCAGACAGACAAGACUUUGGUUGAACAUCUCAUUCAAAAAAUGGCACUUCUGAUGAUGCUGUAGUCUAUUGACACUGUGUGUGUCACCCUAGCUUAAAGUGCCAGAGGUGAGGCUUGCACCCACGAUCUUCUGACCCAAAGCACGAUCUUGAGAUCUCACAAUUUUGUAUAUCAGUGCCCAAAAGCAUCAGAGAAAAUCACAGCACUGGAUGAAAAAAAGACAGCAAGAAUCCAGCAAGUGGUACUGUGGGUAAUUGAGUGCAGUGACUGGUUUUAUAGGCCAGCAUGGCAACCAUUUUGCACACAGCACGAUACCAUAGCCAUGAAGUGAACAACCAAUUUGGUGUCAAGGAUUGCUGGCCAGGCCACUGAGUCCAACUUGACUUUUCUUUCCAAUAUUGUCAUUGGAUCUGAAUUUAACGUCUCCUCUGAAAGAAGUCGUCGCUGACAAUGCAGAACCUCUCAACACUACACUAAGUGUCCUUCACACUGGUACAUCGCGGAUAGCAUCUCGGAGCGCUGAAAAAUUGCAGAAGACGGAUUUCCACAAAUGGAGAAAACAGAACAUUAACUAAGCAGCUGAAAAGAUGAUUUGAAUAAUAAAUGUACAUUUGAUACUACUAGUCAGCUGAUACCCUGGACUCCUUCAGAAGUGAGCUGAAGGCUAGAGCACCAAAACCCCUAAAAACAAAGGAACUCAAUUGCCACUGUUGGCAUCAGUGGGAUAGAAUUUUAGGCCUUAGUGUUAAUUUUUCCUUUUGAAAUAUUAAUUUUUAACCUAUUACAAGAAGUUUAACUCUUUUUCACAUCAUUUAGUCCACGUUAAUGCAGGAUUUAUUCUUAUAUGCAGUAUAAGAGAAUUGAGAAAUACUUCAAGUUUCAUUGCCAUUAGGUCUUUAAGAUUGGUUGGCUGCUGUGCAUGGGGAGAUUGAUGCUGAAACAAUGAUGUGUCCUCAUUUCUAAUAGCCAACCAGCCCAAACCCAUGGGGAAAUAUACGGUGUGGAAAAAUUCAGUAUUGAACUUUUUAUAAUUUUUCACAUACAAUACAUUCUGAAUAAAUAACAUCAUUGUAAGUUACUAUGCUCUACAACUUGGUAAGAGAAACUUAGCUUUGUUUUUUUAUUUAAAACAUUUUUUAUGAGAAAAUCUUGUGGGGAAAGAAUUGAAGGGCUGCUGUAGAACACAAUUCCCAUUCUCCGACUGGAGCCUUCCCCUUCUCCCAAAUGGUGAAGAAUUGCUGUGCAGCCUGUGUUAACACGAGAGACUUAUGGGAUCCUGUUAUGUGAGGUACUUCAUUUAUCUUUGGGUUAUUUUACUCUUAAUCCAGGCAUUUUGAUACCCAGGUGAUACACAUUUUUUGUAUUGAUGACUAAAAAUGUACUGUGUUCAGUAAACUUCUUUCCAAAGUUUCAA
Molecule: long non-coding RNA, 1501 nt
Organism: Callorhinchus milii (elephant shark)
Lineage: Eukaryota; Metazoa; Chordata; Chondrichthyes; Chimaeriformes; Callorhinchidae
Exons: 5
Source: RefSeq, a predicted model, not a curated record